UGGGGAGUGGGGUCGCGUCCUAUCAGCUUGUAGGCGGGGUAAUGGCCCACCUAGGCUUCGACGGGUAGCCGGCCUGAGAGGGCGGACGGCCACAGUUGGGACUGAGAUACCGGCCCAGACUCCGUACGGGAGGCAGCAGGUGGGGAAUUAUUGCGCAAGUGGGGAAAACCCUGACGCAGCGACGCCGCGUGCGGGAUGAAGGCCUUCGGGUUGUAAACCGCUUUUGAUUGGGGAGCAAGCCUUUUGGGUGAGUGUACCUUUCGAAUAAGCGCCGGGCUAACUACGUGCCCAGCAGCCGCGGGUAAAUA
Molecule: ribosomal RNA, 308 nt
Filed under: uncultured Gardnerella sp.
Lineage: Bacteria; Bacillati; Actinomycetota; Actinomycetes; Bifidobacteriales; Bifidobacteriaceae
Description: bacterial SSU rRNA
Rfam family: Bacterial small subunit ribosomal RNA
Source: RNAcentral